UACGUAGGGGGCAAGCGUUGUCCGGAAUUAUUGGGCGUAAAGAGCGUGUAGGCGGUCCGGUAAGUCAGCUGUGAAAGUCAAGGGCUCAACCCUUGAAUGCCGGUUGAUACUGUCGGGCUAGAGUCCGGAAGAGGCGAGUGGAAUUCCCGGUGUAGCGGUGAAAUGCGCAGAUAUCGGGAGGAACACCAAUGGCGAAGGCAGCUCGCUGGGACGGUACUGACGCUGAGAGACGAAAGCUAGGGGAGCAAAUGGG
This 253-nucleotide ribosomal RNA is filed under the name uncultured bacterium. Its description in RNAcentral is "partial 16S ribosomal RNA". It matches the Rfam family "Bacterial small subunit ribosomal RNA", at positions 524 to 776 of the family's 1533-position model. The record is from RNAcentral.